AACGCGAAGAACCUUACCAUCCCUUGACAUCCAGUGAAUUUUUCAGAGAUGAAUUAGUGCCUUCGGGAACACUGAGACAGGUGCUGCAUGGCUGUCGUCGGCUCGUGUUGUGAGAUGUUGGGUUAAGUCCCGCAGCGAGCGCAACCCUUAUCCUUAGUUGCCAGCACGUAAAGGUGGGAACUCUGGGGAGACUGCCGGUGAUAAACCGGAGGAAGGUGGGGACGACGUCAAGUCAUCAUGGCCCUUACGGGAUGGGCUACACACGUGCUACAAUGGCGCAUACAAAGGGCAGCAAGCCAGCGAUGGUUAGCGAAUCUCAUAAAGUGCGUCGUAGUCCGGAUCGGAGUCUGCAACUCGACUCCGUGAAGUCGGAAUCGCUAGUAAUCGUGGAUCAGAAUGCCACGGUGAAUACGUUCCCGGGCCUUGUACACACCG
This 435-nucleotide ribosomal RNA is filed under the name uncultured Idiomarina sp. RNAcentral describes it as "bacterial SSU rRNA". It matches the Rfam family "Bacterial small subunit ribosomal RNA", at positions 958 to 1392 of the family's 1533-position model. The record is from RNAcentral. Lineage: Bacteria; Pseudomonadati; Pseudomonadota; Gammaproteobacteria; Alteromonadales; Idiomarinaceae.